This is a long non-coding RNA of Dermochelys coriacea (leatherback sea turtle), 589 nucleotides long. RefSeq lists it as uncharacterized. NCBI's taxonomy places the organism in Eukaryota, Metazoa, Chordata, Testudines, Dermochelyidae. The record is from RefSeq and is a predicted model, not a curated record. The transcript has 3 exons.
CUGCCGGGAUUUGCGCGAGGAACAAGCGUAGCGUAGCAGAUGCUACGGCGAAGAAGGAGCAGAAAGCCGCGGAGAAAGGGAAUGUGCCCCGCCGCCCCCGCAGCAGCUCCAGCUGCCCCAGUUGGAGCGUCAAUCCCCUGCGCAAGGCGACGGGCUUGAUUCCGCCGGGUCCCCGGGCCGGGGGGGGGGGGGGGGCUGCGGUGGCACGUUGCCGGCCCGGGAGUGGACGGGGCCGGGGGCUACGUUGGGGGUUUGGUUUUCGCGUUCGGCAGAGGCCCUGGGACAUCGCCCUGCCGCCGCCGCCGCCGUCCCCGGCGUGACUGUGCCGCUCCGGUACCCUGGUGCCGCGCAUCGUUCAACAAGCGAUAGCGACAGUAUGGAUCGGGUUUUAUGCCAGUCCUAAUGAUGUCCUAGCCAGAACUGUUCUGAAGUCAUCUUGUUGAUAAAGGAAACUUACAGCAGCCCUAGAGGCUAACCAUUCCCAAGCCUCCCAAACUUGGGGAUACUGAGGUUUUGAAGAUCCCAGGUAUCCUAUUCAAUCUGAGAGAGAAGGAGGAAGAAAACAAGGUGAAUCCUACCUCACCCCGAA